GUUUUUAUGUACGAUUGCCUGAGCUGAAGACAAGACUUUCGCUGUAUGCAUAUUUAAAAUAUGACGUCACCCACACAGAGUGAGAGUUUUAGUUUUUCUUUGAAAGUUUGAUGGAAAAUGUACAGCGAGACUUGUCGCAGUUAAUGUAGUACCAAAUGCUUGCUUUCUUGGAGUAUGUGCUUGAAACAAGAAUGUCCUGGAGAAAACAGACCACUACAAGAUAAGACAUACAUGUACAGUAUGGACUAUGAAGUUCUACUUAGCCUCUUCAAUGAACUGCUGGAGCUGCGACUGGGUAUCAAAACCAUGGUAUCAUAAACCUCAUAACCAGUGGCGGAGAUAUGUUGUUAGCCAGGGGGGAGGGGUCAGUGCCCCCCCCCCCCACUUUUUCAAGUACCCCCUAAAUGCCCCUUU
Molecule: long non-coding RNA, 414 nt
Organism: Strongylocentrotus purpuratus (purple sea urchin)
Lineage: Eukaryota; Metazoa; Echinodermata; Echinoidea; Camarodonta; Strongylocentrotidae
Exons: 3
Source: RefSeq, a predicted model, not a curated record